Molecule: unclassified non-coding RNA, 240 nt
Filed under: soil metagenome
Description: partial contains 5.8S ribosomal RNA, internal transcribed spacer 2, and large subunit ribosomal RNA
Source: RNAcentral
AACACUGUUAACCUGCGGUACCUGCGGAAGGAUCAUUACCGAGUUAGGGUGCUUCGCGCGCCCGACCUCCAACCCUUUGUCUACCUGACCAGAUGUUGCUUCGGCAGGCCCGCCGCCUCUCCUUCGCGGGGGGAUGGCCGCCGGGGGCCCUUACCGGUCCCGGGCCCGUGCCUGUCGACGGCCCUUCUCAAACUCUUGCUUAAAACGUGUCGUCUGAGUACUACAAACAAAAUAAAAACA